UACGAAGGGUGCAAGCGUUACUCGGAAUUACUGGGCGUAAAGCGUGCGUAGGUGUUUUGUUAAGUCUGUUGUGAAAGCCCCGGGCUCAACCUGGGAAUGGCAAUGGAUACUGGCAGGCUAGAGUGCGGUAGAGGGUAGUGGAAUUCCCGGUGUAGCGGUGAAAUGCGUAGAGAUCGGAAAGAACACCAGUGGCGAAAGGCGGCGACCUGGGUCAAAAACUGACACUGAGGUGCGAAAAGCGUGGGGGAGCAAACGGG
RNAcentral lists this ribosomal RNA (257 nucleotides) under uncultured bacterium. RNAcentral's name for it is "partial 16S ribosomal RNA". It matches the Rfam family "Bacterial small subunit ribosomal RNA", at positions 524 to 776 of the family's 1533-position model. The record is from RNAcentral.